This 469-nucleotide ribosomal RNA is filed under the name uncultured bacterium. Its description in RNAcentral is "bacterial SSU rRNA". It matches the Rfam family "Bacterial small subunit ribosomal RNA", at positions 32 to 508 of the family's 1533-position model. The record is from RNAcentral.
CAAUCAACGCUGGCGGCGUGCCUCAGACAUGCAAGUCGAACGAUUAAGACUUCCUUCGGGAAGUGUAUAAAGUGGCGCACGGGUGAGUAACACGUAAGUAAUCUACCUUCGAGUGGGGAAUAACGUUCGGAAACGAACGCUAAUACCGCAUAAUGCAGCGGCAUCGCAAGAUGACAGUUGUUAAAGGAGUAAUUCGCUUGAAGAGGAGCUUGCGGCAGAUUAGCUAGUUGGUAAGGUAACGGCUUACCAAGGCUACGAUCUGUAUCCGGUCUAAGAGGACGGUCGGACACACUGACACUGAAUAACGGGUCAGACUCCUACGGGAGGCAGCAGUCGGGAAUUUUGGGCAAUGGGCGAAAGCCUGACCCAGCAACGCCGCGUGAAGGAUGAAGUAUUUCGGUAUGUAAACUUCGAAAGAAUGGGAAGAAUAAAUGACGGUACCAUUUAUAAGCUCCGGCUAACUACGUGC